UGUACAGACUGCUGCUUCACUGGCUGGCUAGGUUGCUCUGUUCAGACUCACUGUUGCUCAUAUUGUUGCUAUAAACGCUUUGUACCAGCUUCGGUGGUCCACCACAGAAAUACAUCGCUUCCUCCUGUUGGCUAGUUGCCAGUGAGACUCAGCUAUUCUGG
Molecule: long non-coding RNA, 161 nt
Filed under: Cricetulus griseus (Chinese hamster)
Lineage: Eukaryota; Metazoa; Chordata; Mammalia; Rodentia; Cricetidae
Description: lncRNA (ENSCGRG00000024608.1)
Source: RNAcentral